AACGAACGCUGGCGGCGUGCUUAACACAUGCAAGUCGAACGCGAAAGGGACUUCGGUCCUGAGUAAAGUGGCGCACGGGUGAGUAACACGUGGAUAAUCUACCCAGUGUUCCGGGAUAACAUCUCGAAAGGGGUGCUAAUACCGGAUAAGCCCACGGGAACUUCGGUUCUUGCGGGAAAAGGUGGGGACCUUUUAGGCCUACUGUCACUGGAUGCGUCCGCGGCCCAUUAGCUAGUUGGUAGGGUAAUGGCCUACUAAGGCUACGAUGGGUAGCUGGUCUGAGAGGACGAUCAGCCACACUGGAACUGAGACACGGUCCAGACUCCUACGGGAGGCAGCAGUGGGGAAUUUUGCGCAAUGGGCGAAAGCCUGACGCAGCAACGCCGCGUGAGUGAUGAAGGCCUUCGGGUCGUAAAGCUCUGUCAGAGGGGAAGAACCUCCUGGGGGAUAAUAACCCUCAGGCCUGACGGUACCCUCAAAGGAAGCACCGGCUAACUCCGUGCCAGCAGCCGCCGUAA
This 518-nucleotide ribosomal RNA is filed under the name uncultured bacterium. RNAcentral's name for it is "partial 16S ribosomal RNA". It matches the Rfam family "Bacterial small subunit ribosomal RNA", at positions 29 to 523 of the family's 1533-position model. The record is from RNAcentral.